UACGGAGGGUGCAAGCGUUGUUCGGAAUCACUGGGCGUAAAGCGCGUGUAGGCGGCUAUCUAAGUCUGAUGUGAAAGCCCUGGGCUCAACUCAGGAAGUGCAUUGGAUACUGGAUAGCUGGAGUACCGGAGAGGAGGGUGGAAUUCCUGGUGUAGCGGUGAAAUACGUAGAUAUCAGGAGGAACACCGGUGGCGAAGGCGUCCCUCUGGCCGGAUACUGACGCUGAGACGCGAAAGCGUGGGGAGCAAACAGG
RNAcentral lists this ribosomal RNA (253 nucleotides) under uncultured bacterium. RNAcentral describes it as "partial 16S ribosomal RNA". It matches the Rfam family "Bacterial small subunit ribosomal RNA", at positions 524 to 776 of the family's 1533-position model. The record is from RNAcentral.